AGAUUCAGACUGGAACUCCACCAUCAGCGCUCCUAAGUCUCUUAACAUAACAGCUGCAGAUCAUGGAACUUCUAUUACUUGUUCUGUUUCUCUAAGAACCAGACAAAUAGAAAAGGGGAGAUUUAUCAGUGGAAGGCACAAUGAAAGAGAGAUUGGAGAAAGAGGAAAGAAGCUAAAAAAGAAAACCCACUGAAUGGAGCCUGUUCCGUGCUAUA
Molecule: long non-coding RNA, 215 nt
Filed under: Homo sapiens (human)
Lineage: Eukaryota; Metazoa; Chordata; Mammalia; Primates; Hominidae
Description: HSALNT0079885
Source: RNAcentral